Molecule: ribosomal RNA, 312 nt
Filed under: Digitipes coonoorensis
Lineage: Eukaryota; Metazoa; Arthropoda; Chilopoda; Scolopendromorpha; Scolopendridae
Description: eukaryotic LSU rRNA
Rfam family: Eukaryotic large subunit ribosomal RNA
Source: RNAcentral
CCCUAAGGCGCAAUGAAAGUGAAGGUCAGGCAUCGCACUGACUGAGGCAGGAUCCGUCCGGGUGAGCGAAGCUCUUCUUCUCUUCGCGGGUUCGUCCCGCGGGGGAGCUCGGCGGCGCACUGCCAGCCCAUCUCGGCCGCUUCCCGUCGGCGAGGUGGAGCUAGAGCGCACACGUUGGGACCCGAAAGAUGGUGAACUAUGCUCGGGCAGGACGAAGCCAGAGGAAACUCUGGUGGAGGUCCGUAGCGAUUCUGACGUGCAAAUCGAUCGUCGGACCCGAGUAUAGGGGCGAAAGACUAAUCGAACCGUCUA